GAUCUAUUCUAUGCUAAUCGAUC
This 23-nucleotide non-coding RNA is filed under the name Arabidopsis thaliana (thale cress). The record is from RNAcentral. Lineage: Eukaryota; Viridiplantae; Streptophyta; Magnoliopsida; Brassicales; Brassicaceae.